Molecule: long non-coding RNA, 190 nt
Organism: Nycticebus coucang (slow loris)
Lineage: Eukaryota; Metazoa; Chordata; Mammalia; Primates; Lorisidae
Exons: 3
Source: RefSeq, a predicted model, not a curated record
CCAAGUGGAUGUUUGGUGUAGGCUGCAACCGGUCACCCAGAGCUUUCAUGCAAAGGCGUUACCAGUGGGUUGCAAAUUCUCCAUGGCAGCUGUGCCCUCAUCACUGGUGCUCAAGUUUAUUGGACUGGAUAAUUUCGUUGAACCAAUUUUCAUGUUCACUGAUUCUUCUGGCUGCUGAAAUCAACUAUUG